GCGAAGCGACAGGGGCGCUCGGGCAACCGGGCUGAGACGAACCCUUAGAACCUGAACCGGAUAAUGCCGGCGGAGGGAGGCGCGUGAGACGGUCA
RNAcentral lists this non-coding RNA (95 nucleotides) under Thioclava sp. Its description in RNAcentral is "TPP sequence". It matches the Rfam family "TPP riboswitch aptamer (THI element)". From Rfam's summary of the family: Vitamin B(1) in its active form thiamin pyrophosphate (TPP) is an essential coenzyme that is synthesised by coupling of pyrimidine and thiazole moieties in bacteria. Lineage: Bacteria; Pseudomonadati; Pseudomonadota; Alphaproteobacteria; Rhodobacterales; Paracoccaceae. The record is from RNAcentral.